Molecule: ribosomal RNA, 253 nt
Filed under: uncultured bacterium
Lineage: Bacteria
Description: partial 16S ribosomal RNA
Rfam family: Bacterial small subunit ribosomal RNA
Source: RNAcentral
UACGGGGGGGGCAAGCGUUGUUCGGAAUUACUGGGCGUAAAGGGCUCGUAGGUGGCCAACUAAGUCAUACGUGAAAUCCCUCGGCUUAACCGGGGAACUGCGUCUGAUACUGGUUGGCUUGAGUUUGGGAGAGGGAUGCGGAAUUCCAGGUGUAGCGGUGAAAUGCGUAGAUAUCUGGAGGAACACCGGUGGCGAAGGCGGCAUCCUGGACCAUUACUGACACUGAAUAGCGAAAGCCAGGGGAGCAAACGGG